This 553-nucleotide ribosomal RNA is filed under the name uncultured alpha proteobacterium NAC60-17. Its description in RNAcentral is "bacterial SSU rRNA". It matches the Rfam family "Bacterial small subunit ribosomal RNA", at positions 39 to 637 of the family's 1533-position model. Lineage: Bacteria; Pseudomonadati; Pseudomonadota; Alphaproteobacteria; Candidatus Pelagibacterales. The record is from RNAcentral.
GCGGCACGCUUACACAUGCAACUCGAACGAAGUAGCAAUACUUAGUGGCAGACGGGUGAGUAACAUGUNCGUAUCUGCCCUUUGGCCUGGAAUAACACGAGGAAACUUGUGCUAAUACCGGAUAAGUCUUUACAGGGAAAGUUUUAUACGCCGAAAGAUGAGCCUGCACUUGAUUAGCUAGUUGGUAAGGUAAUAGCUUACCAAGGCUACGAUCAAUANUUGAUCUGAGAGGAUGAUCAGCCACAUUGGGACUGAGACACGGCCCAAACUCCUACGGGAGGCAGCAGUGGGGAAUCUUGCACAAUGGGGGAAACCCUGAUGCAGCGAUGCCGCGUGAGUGAAGAAGGCCCUUGGGUUGUAAAGCUCUUUCGUCGGGGAAGAAAAUGACUGUACCCGAAUAAGAAGGUCCGGCUAACUUCGUGCCAGCAGCCGCGGUAAUACGAAGGGACCUAGCCGUAGUUCGGAAUUACUGGGCUUAAAGAGUUCGUAGGUGGUUGAAAAAGUUAGUGGUGAAAUCCCAGAGCUUAACUCUGGAACUGCCAUUAAAACUUUU